RNAcentral lists this ribosomal RNA (216 nucleotides) under Glomeromycotina sp. RNAcentral's name for it is "partial small subunit ribosomal RNA". The stretch from base 40 to 216 matches the Rfam family "Eukaryotic small subunit ribosomal RNA", at positions 686 to 864 of the family's 1831-position model. The record is from RNAcentral. Lineage: Eukaryota; Fungi; Glomeromycota.
GGGUCAGUAGGUUGGUCGUGCCACCGGUACGUACUGGUCUCACUGAUUCCUCCUUCCUGAAGAACCGUAAUGCCAUUAUUUUGGUGUUGCGGGGAAACAGGACUGUUACUUUGAAAAAAUUAGAGUGUUUAACGCAAGCUAACGCUUGAAUACAGUAGCAUGGAAUAAUGAAAUAGGACGAUCGAUCCUAUUUUGUUGGUUUCUAGGAUUGACGUA